AGAGUUUGAUCAUGGCUCAGGAUGAACGCUAGCGGCAGGCUUAAUACAUGCAAGUCGAGGGGUAUAAAGUAGCUUGCUAUUUUAGAGACCGGCAAACGGGUGCGGAACACGUACACAAUCUAACCUUAUCUGGGGGAUAGCCAUAGAAAUGUGGAUUAAUACCCCAUAGUAUUACGGAGUGGCAUCAUUUUGUAAUUAAAGAAUUUCGGAUAAGGAUGAGUGUGCGUCUGAUUAGGUAGUUGGCGGGGUAACGGCCCACCAAGCCGACGAUCAGUAGCUGAUGUGAGAGCAUGAUCAGCCACACGGGCACUGAGACACGGGCCCGACUCCUACGGGAGGCAGCAGUAAGGAAUAUUGGUCAAUGGACGGAAGUCUGAACCAGCCAUGCCGCGUGAAGGACGAAGGCGUUCUGCGUUGUAAACUUCUUUUAUCAGAGAAGAAACCACCGAUUUCUAUUGGUGUUGACGGUAUCUGAUGAAUAAGCACCGGCUAACUCCGUG
This 500-nucleotide ribosomal RNA is filed under the name uncultured bacterium. Its description in RNAcentral is "bacterial SSU rRNA". It matches the Rfam family "Bacterial small subunit ribosomal RNA", at positions 8 to 507 of the family's 1533-position model. The record is from RNAcentral.